GUCAAAAAGAGGUUUCUUCAAUAUUCAAAACUCAAGUACAUUGCUCAACCAAAUAAUACAUGCAAAGAAACAAAAUGGAUGGAAAUUACAACAAAACAUGAGGUUAAAUGCGCCUUCCAAAACUCAUUUCUGUCAUUGCUUUCUCGGUCUAUACAAAACUACAUAAUCCUGAAAGGCACUAUUAAGCAGAUGUUGAGAAAACAGCAAUUUGGACGUAAUUUUGAGCCUAAAAGUCACUUGGCUGCUUCUAGGUCUGCAAGGGUGACUGCUGGUGAAUCUUGAUAACCAGUAAUGCCCAUUAUUCUUAUCCGAGUAAUUGGCUGUCUGUGACCAAUAUUCCUUCUGUAGUUCUUUUUCUUCUUAUACUUGAAGACGAUAACCUUCUUAUCUUUCAACUGCUCUUCAACAACAGCGUGGACUGUUGCAUUUGGCACCACUGGUUUUCCAACCCAAGUACUUGUUUUUGUUCCCACAAGUAACACCUUGUUUAGGAUAAUUUUGUCAUUGACAUUUGCACCUUUAAGCCUCUGGGUGUAGAUAUACCGCCCAGGAAAAACAAUAUAUUGCCGAGAUCCAACCAUAACAACAGCAAAGAUUUCUUCCCGUUUUGGUUCCAAGCUAGUGGCUUCCACAACAGGCUCUUCUUGGUCAGCUUCAACUUCAGCUACUGGAGCUUCAGAUUCUGAGUAUUUGGGUACAAAAGAGGAUAAAGAAUUGGGCUUGGAGAAACGGAGAUUGAGAGAGGAAAAUGAGUGAGAUAGAAAAGUAACAUUGGAAUUUGCUUUGGGAACAGAAAGGGUGUUAAGAAAAGUUUGGUUCUUGGAAAGUGCUGUUGAGGGGGAAGAUGUAGAACACAGGGAAAGGGUUGCCAUUGUU
Molecule: unclassified non-coding RNA, 876 nt
Filed under: Hevea brasiliensis (rubber tree)
Lineage: Eukaryota; Viridiplantae; Streptophyta; Magnoliopsida; Malpighiales; Euphorbiaceae
Source: RNAcentral